RNAcentral lists this ribosomal RNA (342 nucleotides) under uncultured chlorarachniophyte. RNAcentral's name for it is "SSU rRNA". It matches the Rfam family "Eukaryotic small subunit ribosomal RNA", at positions 451 to 793 of the family's 1831-position model. The record is from RNAcentral. Lineage: Eukaryota; Cercozoa; Chlorarachniophyceae.
CCGACACGGGGAGGUAGUGACAAGAAAUAUGAUGACUGUGCCCUUUGUGGCAGAGUUUUUCAAAUGAGUGUAAUGUAAUUGCCUAUGCGAGUAUCCAUUGGAGGGCAAGUCUGGUGCCAGCAGCCGCGGUAAUUCCAGCUCCAAUAGCGUAUAUUAAAGUUGUUGCAGUUAAAAAGCUCGUAGUUGGAUGUCUAGCUUUGCGCGGACGGCCCGCCUUCGGGUUGAGUGCUGGAAGCGCUAGCUUGUUUUCCGGUUUGUGUCCCUUCCCUUGACUGUGGCGGGGUUCACGAUCCGGAUCUGUUACUUUGAAGAAAUUCGGGUGUUCAAAGCAGGCUUAUGCCG